Non-coding RNA from Aspergillus coremiiformis, 98 nucleotides. The record is from the annotation of a GenBank genome assembly. Lineage: Eukaryota; Fungi; Ascomycota; Eurotiomycetes; Eurotiales; Aspergillaceae.
GGCCGACUGGCCCAGUGGUUAAGGCACCCGCUUUACAAUCGCAGUUCCAAUUGCGAGCGAAUCGCGGGGGAUCGCAGGUUCGAUCCCUGCGUCGGUCA